CUGAGAUCAUGACCUGACCUGAAGGCAGAGGCUUAACCCACUGACCCACCCAGGUGCCCAGUGAUCUAAAAUUUUUUGACAACAUGUCUUGGGAAAGAAAGAGCCCGUGAGUAGGAAGAGGGGCAGAGGG
Lontra canadensis (Northern American river otter) is the source of this 130-nucleotide long non-coding RNA. RefSeq lists it as uncharacterized. The record is from RefSeq and is a predicted model, not a curated record. NCBI's taxonomy places the organism in Eukaryota, Metazoa, Chordata, Mammalia, Carnivora, Mustelidae. The transcript has 3 exons.